This is a long non-coding RNA of Symphalangus syndactylus (siamang), 2804 nucleotides long. RefSeq lists it as uncharacterized. The record is from RefSeq and is a predicted model, not a curated record. Lineage: Eukaryota; Metazoa; Chordata; Mammalia; Primates; Hylobatidae.
AACUAUUAUUUAUUUUGAUUACUGGAGGGUUCUGGAGGAGCACCCCCUGAAAUUCGAACCUAGAGGACUGACCUCACCCUAAUCCUGGCCGUGGCUAAUAAUAACGCCCAUCUCUUAGGGCUGUUGAGUGAAUUAAAUGAGAUAAUGCACGUAGAGCCCUCGGACCCGAGGCUGGCAUUGGGAAAGGCACAGUUUAUAUUUUUUGACCUGGUUGUUCACCAGGCAUUCCCUGCCAUCCCGCUUUCCAUCCUGCAGGGGGAGCAUGACUGACUGAGUGUCACUAUCGGAUCUAUGAUACCUUCUUGCUUUUCUGAAAUCAAAUAAAAGAGACAGAAACUCUCAUCUCAACUGUUGUGUUAGGAAGGAGGACGGGAAUGGUAAAUGCUGACGCUACAGGCGGCAGUCUGUGCCUCAGAGAGAAAAUUUAUCCCAACCUUGCUGGGGGCCUUGACGCCCAUCUUCCUCCAGAGCACCCAGACAGUCACCCCGCCCUCUGGGGUCCUCCCACACCGAGCCCGAUCUUCCCCCUUCACGCCUGCCCCGGGCCAAUAGCCUCCUAACUGCGUCCUCUCUGAUUGUGUCGUGCUCAUUAUGCCCUAUCCGUCGUUUCUUCGCUCCACAAACGUUUACUGAGCGCCUUCAACUUGCCAGGCACUAACUAGACUAGCGCAGGGAAACGGGGAUAAGUACUGAUGAGGGUCCCAGCCCUCAGCGAUCGGAUUUCAGAGGGGGAGAUAAAGGAUUGCCCAGAAGGGUAGUGAGUGGAAUAGCUGAUAUAAACAACGGGGUGCGAUGAAAUACACAGGAGGGCUGCUAGUUACAUAGGAGGCGGGUGCCGAGGGCUCUUAAUUAAGGGAGGCUUCCUGGACGGGUGACACCCAAGUGGAGUCCUGACGACCUGCGUCAGAAGUAGCCAGGCCAGGAGGAGGUGAAAGGAAUCCACGUCCCGAGCAGAGAGGCAGCUUUCCCUACACAGCACAGGACACGGUCCGUGCACCGAAGCCACAGGAGGCGCGGGCACAGGGGCUGGGGAGAAUCCUUGCUGGGCCCUCGCCGUCCACGCGCCGCCUCCCUCUGCCCGGUGUCUGGUGCCAGCCUCCUGCCUGGCAGAGGAACUCCCGCCCCUGCUCCCCGAAGCCCCUCCAGGCCUUCCGCUUCCCUGACUCGGAAUGGGCCCGUUGUCCAGUGGGUACGAGGCUGGUCUCCCUGCUCGCUGGUGACGACCUAAAGAUCCAGCGCAGCCUGGAUUCCUCUUGUGAUGAUAUCUUGCGACCUCGUCUUUCUCCAGGAAAACAGGGACCGCUCUCCGCCUACAGGUCUCUUCCACAGACCUAUCUUGCUUUCACCCCCUGUCUCUUUUGGUUCAGUCUUUUCGCUCAUACAAACAAGGAAGUCGCCGCUAGCCCAGCCGUGGCUCCUUAGCUGGAGGCGGGCCCGGGAGUGGAGUCAACCGCGGUGGCCACGCCUCCUGGGAAAGGGCAGGGCAUGCAAAUUCGAAAUGAAAGCCCGGAAACCCCGGAAUUAGAACUGGCGAAAAACCAAGGCACAGGUAGUUUAAGCUACCGAGGAACGCACAGGAGCAGAACUCGAGUCCAAGCAUCGUGGCUCCACCCUUCAUGCUUGAUGCAUCUUUAGGCUCCAUUCUAGGCAACGCAGUUGCUCAGGGGCUUCGGUAUCACAGCCAAGACCCCUUCGGGAGAAGCUAGUCGGAUACUGGGACCCACAUUCCAGACUACUGAGCCAUGGCCGCCCCCUUCGCUCCGUUUCUGCUCCCUCCACCCCACGAGCCAGACCGCGGAAGCUCCACUCUUCACAGUAAUGGCUUUCCUCAAAAGAGCUCGGACCACUCUCCUCCAACUUCCUUCCGCAGACACCUCGUGACGCCCACGCCCAUUUCGCUUGGUCACUGUCUUGACCCCGGGUGGGUCCAUCAGCUCGUUGCAACCUAAUUUUUGUAUUUUUAGUAAAGACAGUGUUUCACCAUGUUGGCCAGGCUGGCCUGGAACUCCUGUCCUCAGGUGAUCUGCCCUCCUUGGCCUCCCAAAGUGGACAAAGACAGCAUCUCUUUUUGAAAGGAGAUACAGGCCAGGUGCGGUGGCUCACGCCUGCAAUCCCAGCACUUUGGGAGGCUGAAGCAGGUGGAUCACCUGAGGUCAGGAGUUCGAGACCAGCCUGACCAAAAUGGAGAAACUCUGUCUCUACUAAAAAUACAAAAUUAGCCAGGCGUGGUGGCACAUACCUGUAAUCCUAGCUACUCAGGAGGCUGAGGCAGGAGAAUCGCUUGAACUCAGGAGGCGGAGGUUGCGGUGAGCCUAGAUCGCGCCAUUGCACUCCAGCCUGGGCAACAAGAGUGAAACUCUGUCUCAAAAAAAAAAAAAAAAAAAAAAAAAAAAAUUAAAAGAAGAAAGAAAGAAAGAAAGGAGAUACAGUAUGCCCCAUGAGAUGCUGAAAGGGACUCACCUCUUUUGAGACUAACCUAAGCAUUUAAAGCCGUGGCUCCCUUUGAAAUGGAAUGAUUAGGAGAAAAUGCAUUCUUGAAGAAAUAUACAGCAGUGCCCACCAAAUAAAUGCUGUAUGGACUGGGAGAAGGCCAUGUCCAUCUUGAUGUGGGGACUUUUAAUGCCUUGAUUGUACUUGCCUGUAUUAUUCUAUGUUGUCAACGUGUCCUCUUAAUACCAGGUCCUCCAUGAUAAGUUGCUCCCGAUCCAGAAGUAUUGCCCUAGCUGCAAAGAGCCCUGAUUCUCAAAUGUGGUCAUGAUCAUGGUUACUGGUUGGCCCAUAAAAAGAAAGUAAAAAAAAAAAAA